GGGUUUGUAGCUCAGCUGUUUAGAGCACACGCUUGAUAAGCGUGGGGUCGGAGGUUCAAGUCCUCCCAGACCCACCA
Molecule: transfer RNA, 77 nt
Filed under: Neisseria gonorrhoeae
Lineage: Bacteria; Pseudomonadati; Pseudomonadota; Betaproteobacteria; Neisseriales; Neisseriaceae
Description: tRNA-Ile
Rfam family: tRNA
About the family: Transfer RNA (tRNA) molecules are approximately 80 nucleotides in length. Their secondary structure includes four short double-helical elements and three loops (D, anti-codon, and T loops).
Source: RNAcentral